Non-coding RNA from Megalopta genalis, 3297 nucleotides. Lineage: Eukaryota; Metazoa; Arthropoda; Insecta; Hymenoptera; Halictidae. The record is from RefSeq and is a predicted model, not a curated record.
UUAGUCAGCUUGUAUACGCGACCGCGGAUAGGGCUGGAGAGUAACCGUGCGGAAAACGCGUAGUCGGAAAUCAAUGGAGCCGCUCGAACGCGUCCGCAGGGCCGAACAGUGUGUGCGAAGAGGAAAAUAAUCGGGCCGGGCUCGGCUCUGCCAAUACAACUUACCUAACCUUGCAGCAGGACCGCUCUUGGUUCGCUGGCCAGUUCCGCGUAGCCCCGUGCCCGACGAAACUUUUCCAUGUAGCCGUCGCGCGGCGAUUGAUUCAAUCCGCGGCCGCCGAUUCACCCCUAUGACCGAGCCUUCAUCGAGGGUAGACACGUCGAGCCCGACCGAACACGGGGGUUAACGAAAAGAUUUGUAGAAAAAUGGGGGAUACGAUUCGGAAAAGACGAAAAAAAAGAGAAAGGGGGAGAGAGAGAGAAAAUAUAGAGAGAGGGAGAGAGAGAAAGAGAGAAAAAAAACUGUUCACGGGUAACGGUAUAUCCCAGCCAUGUCGAAAACACGAAAGCAGGCACGAUUUGCCGCGGGCAAGCGCGCGCGCGCGCGCUCACGCUCUCUCCCGACGUGGGUCUUCUCUUCUUUCACUGACACACACCGAAAGACUUGGCCCGGUAACGCGUUACUGCCACCUCACGCAUAUCUGUCCGUCAUAUACAGAUCCCACAGAAUCGAAAGCGUCCCUGUACGCAUUCGCCUCUCUCUCGCGCCGUCUACAUAACGCUACACUGAUGACUGAUCCUACAAGAUUAUUUUCCAGACGCGAAUGUACCAACGAGAGACUACACACUCGCGACACCCGCUCGCCGACUGAACGUGUUGCUCUCGCGAGCACUGCAUUGAUGCAAUGGAAGCAGAAUCUGAGGACACCUGACGGUGCACCCCGGAAUCGAGAUGGAAGGGAGGAACACGAAACAUGACCGUCCGUAGUCCGUGGUGUCGCAUUUCAUGGGAAAUUGUUGUGGUUGAAAGCAACGAUUUUAGAUAAGCACAGUCGCGUCGGUGCUGUGUUGAAAACAAGGUAGGUUAGGUUGUUGUUUAGUGAAAUCGUUCCUCGUCGGUGACAACGGAUUUUUGGGCAUUUGUAACAAGUAUCUGCACCUUUGAAUAUUCCUGGGAUGUUUUUAUCAGUAACCGGAUCUCUCUUAUCACUUGUUGUUAUGGGGUGAGAAAAUUGGGAAUCGUUUACGCAAACUUACGGUAAGAAAUCAAAUUAUAAAAUUUAAAAAGGCAGUUAUUUUAUACAUUGAUGCAUUGAAUCCUUUACAGCCGAAUUGCGAUUUUCAGGUUGCAGCACUGCUAAUAAUUACCGCACAGUUUGCGUGUAGUAUUUUAUUACGCUCAAUUCUUCAUGUUUUUGUCUAUGAGACAUAUUGAAGUGAAUUAAAUAUUUGGGCUCUAACGUUUAAAUAUAUCUAGAGUGCAAAGUGUUAAUUGAGCAAUGUGGAAUGUUAAUUAAAAUUCAUGAUGUAUGAUUCUUUUUAUUGAGAUUAAAUUCCCAGCUUUUCUCAAGUUCUCCUUCUUUUUGUACAACAUGUGUGAUGUACAAAUAUAGCUAUUUUUUAACACUUAUUUAGUACAUCAUGAAUUAUUAGGCAGCUUCUUCAGUCUUAAUUCUUACCAACUACUCUAGAUAUUUUAAUUUCAACUAUUUUACAAUUGUACAUGUUAUUGGAUAAUAAAGUUAAAAUUAUUCUAGGAUUUCAUUAGGUUUUAGGUUAUUUGUGUAUUUCUAAUAUAAUAUAAUAUUCUUCGAUGAAACUGUAUAAAACUAUUGAAACUUUCAGAUCAACAAAUGAUUAUAAUAAAAGAUAUAUAGUAUAGUUGACUCGUGUAAAGUCUUCUGCACAAAUAUAGAUAACUAUCCAGAAGCAUAAGUAGAAACGCCAUUGAACUGUUGUAACCACAUAAGUUUAUGAAAUUUAGUAUACAUUUGGUCUAAGUUUACAAUUCAAACUAGAUUGAGCAGAAUCUGGUCUGUUAUAGAUGAGAGAAAUUUGAAAAACAGUGAUAGUAAUAGCUAAAAAAUGAAAACAUCUUUGCGAUAUCAUUUCUCUAAUUAAGAAUCUAAUUGUCACUUCUCCUCUGUUUAUGUGUAUUAUAUAUUUUUGUAUAAUUUAAGUUUGUUGGAAUAUUUUAUUUUAGCUCAAUGGACUCCUGGUUUCAAGUAUAUUUCAAUUUCAUACUUACUUUUAAUGCAGCAAUAUGUGUUGCAAAAUUUCAGAACACAAAAAUAUGGUUUCAUUAAAAGCAAAUUUAAUACUUCUCCAUACAAAGAAGUUGUUUAGUGAUGUGAAAUUAAAAAUAGCAUUAAUAGUACCCUUAUUACAGGCUAAUAAAUUGAAUUUGAGAAAGUGUGCGAUGGAAUGUAUUUAGUAUCAGGACAUUAAAAUCACUUGCUCCAAAUUCUCACUCCAUUAACAAAACCAAUUUAACUAGUAAAUUAGAUUUGAUUUUAAUUGUGUUAUGAAACAUAUGAUUCUCCAUGAUAACACUUUUCACAUUAUUGUAUUACCAGAGAGGAACUGAGAGUGUUCAUACCAAGCAUUUCAGUGAAAUGGAACAUACAUCAACUUUAGCAUGGAACAGAAUCUAUUUGUCGAUGUCAGAGGUGAUUCACAGACAUAGAUUUAAGAUCUAUGCAGGCAUUGCAUCUUGUAUUGUUUUCUAUCUAGGAUUUGGGGAAUCAUAAGCCCCCCUCUCCCUUAGCAUUUCGAUGUCGCGCUCAGCGUUACCGACAGUUUAGGCACAUUAGCAAGAAGCGAGUAUCCUCUAUACUUCAUUAUUACUACGAGUGCUUAAUCACAGACGAGUUCUCCAGGAGGAAUAGUAAAAAAAAAAUAGUAAAUUCGUAAACACGAAGGUGCCUUCUUGUCGCGUGAGGACUAUACAUCCAUAAUAACCAUUUAUAGAGGGUGGAAAUUAUUCUCUGAUUGCAGCAAGACUGAGAUCUCUAGUCGACAAUUUUUUAUUAUGUGAAUUGUUAUAUGCAAUUAGGAAGAGUUUUAGGAAACAUGGCACGCAAUAGAAAAGCAGAGGCUCUUCGUCGUUUAGGAAAUAAUGGACAUAAAAAACGAUUUGUUGCUAAGACAAGGCAGUUUACAACAGGAAGCGUUAAAUAUUUAUACCAGUGUAAGACUUGUCUAAGUUCUAGUAUAUAAGUAUAAGAAACGCAGAAAUAAAUUAUUAACUGAAAAAAAUAAUUGUUAUCCGCCGAAAAAUCAAAUAAAGAUAUCAGAAACAUGUGUUAAAAUAAAUUUACAAGAUUUAUCAGGACAUAGUUCAUUAUAUAUCAGUCAA